UAUUUGCAAAUCAUUUAUCUGAUUAAUAUCUGGAAUAUAUAAAGAACUUCAACUCAACAACAAGAAAACAACCCAAUCUAAAAACUGGCAAAGCAUUUGAAUAGGCAUUUCUCCAAAGAAAAUGUAUACGUGGCCAAUGAGCACAUUGAAAAGAUGCUCAACAUAAUUUGUCAUUAGGGAAAUGCAAAUCAAAACUACCUCACAUCUGCUAAGAUGGUUGUCAUAAAAAAAAAAAAAACUGAAAAGUAUUGGCAACAAUGUGGAGUAAUUGAAAUCUUUGUACAAUGCUGGUGGGAAUGUAAAAUGGUGCAACUGCUGGGGAAGACAGUUUGGCAGUUCCUCAGAAGGAAUAUGACCCAUAUGACCCAGCAAUCCCACUUCUAGCUGUAUACCCAAAAGAUUUUAAAUCGGGCACUAGAACAGAUACCUGUACAUGAAUGUUCAUAGCAGCCUUAUUCACAAUAGGCAAGAGGUAGAAACUCAGGUGUCCGUGGACAGAUGAGUGGAUGAACAAGAUGUGGUCUGUGCGUGCGGUGGAAUUUAUUCAGCCCUAAAAGGACCAAAGUCCUGAUACAUGCAGCUUCGUGGAUGAACCUUGAAGACAUCAUGUUGAGUGAAAUAAGCCAGACACUAAAGGACAGAUACUAUAAUUCCACGUAUAUGAAAUAUCUAGAAAAAGCAAAUUAAUAGAGACAGAAAGUGGGCCAGAGGCUCCCAGUACUUGGGUGGAAGGGAGAAGGGGGAGUUACUGCUCAGUGGGUAUCGAGUUUGCAUUGGGGUGAUGAGAGUGGAACUUGAUAGUGGUGAUUGCACAGCAUUGUGAAUGUAAUUAAUGCCACCAGACAGUGGUGAAAAUGGCAGAUCUUAUGUAUAUUCGCCUCAUUUUUUGUUUUUUCCCCAAAAAAGGAGGGAGUACUCAACAGUGGCACCCAAGAGGGGUUAGCUGCUGUGGAAAUUGUCCUCCUGCCUUACAGUUUAGAAACCAGGGAAAUUUUUUAAGCACCAUUUUCAGACACCAGGAAAGAGGCAGCUUCCAGCCUGUGGCACAGGCAGGGGAAAGCCAAACCCAGAGCAGCAGUCCCACUAGUCAAGGCAACGGAGAUUGGUGUUGGGAGAGAACGAGGUGGCUGGAAUCUGUGGGCAGAGCUCCAGAAAGGAUGAGCUGCACACAGUUCCCGAGAUCUGCAGAAAGGAGCCUCAAAUCUUCAUCAGAGCACUGCUCUGUGCAGGGGUGGGACACAAACCCCUAAGUCCAGGCAAAGAAUCACUGGGAAGCAGUAGGGCUGGGAAGCACCAGUCAGGGUGGAGAGGCUCCUCAAGGCGUCUUCUAGGCGAUGCCUUGUCCCGAGGACCAUGGGGUUCUGGGCCCCCUGCCACACUAGGCCAUGCCCCAGCGACCUCUCCUGCCCCCCUCCCACCUUCUCUCUGGGCUCCAGUGGCCUUCAGCUCUGGAGGCUCUCUGCCACCUACCCUAGAAGGCCUUCAGUGACAGGAUUAAAAAGAGCCACUCUGGCCACGCCUUAUCUGAUGAAACGUCAUCAAAAGGCCCUGUUCAUACACAGGAAUGGAUUAAGUUUAAGAACACGUCUUUCAGGGCACAUAGCUCCAGCCACAAUGCAAGGCAGCCAAGCCAACUGUGUUCCGAAGGAUGGCAAGCCCUUCAAGGGCAGGCAAAGCCCAGGACCCGGAGGUGACAGCCAGAAAAACGAGAAAGAAGAAAACACCUGAAAUGUUGACGGAUCGGUAAAGGCUGCCUGUGAGCGACCCCCAUGGCCAGGCACACGGGGAGCUGCUCUCCUCAGCUGUCCCUGUGGCCUCCAAAGCCUGCCAUGAGAAAAACUGGGAGCAGGGAGAAACCUGCCUGUCUGCAGAGAGCCAAAGCACCUGGCCCUGGAGCUGGAGGAGAGGCCCAGGCGAGGGCCAUGGCUGGCAAAGGGGAAGCACUGAAGGCGCCGGGCAGCAGCAGGAGUGGGCAGCAACAGGUCUCCCACUGGGAGAAGUGGGCACAUGUGGACACCCCUGGCUCCCCAGGCCGCUGCGGGAGGGAGCUGCAUUGGAACAGAACCCAAACCCAGCUCCAUCCCUGCUGGAUGGAGGUGACCACGGCCCCCCAGCUGGCGGAAGAGGAGUGCCAUGCACAGGUGAAAGGGUGGCCCCUGCCACACGAGUCUCCAAAGAGGCCACGUGAAGUGUGCCAGACCAGAAAAGGGGCGUAUUUCCGUAAAACGCGGCGAGACGCACACUCAUCUAGUGCCAGGAAGCAGCUCAGUGGCUGCAUGUACAAGUUCUUCUUAGAGAAGCUGUAGGUUCACAGAGAAAGCAUGCAUAAGAUACCGAGUUCCCAUCUACCUCCUGUUCUAAACACCUUGCAUUUGUGUGGUGCAUUUGUUACAAUUGAUGAAAGUGUUAUUAUAAUUGUGCUGGUUAUUACCUAAACUCUGGUUCACAUUUGAGUUUCCUGUUUCUGUACAGGCCUAUGGGUUUUUUUAAAAAAUUUUAUUCUAGUAACAUAUAUACAACCUAAAAUUCCCCUUUUAACCACAUUCAAAUAUAUAGUUCAGUGAUUCAGUGCUGUGAAGUACGCUCACAACGCUGUGCCCCCACCCAUGUACCAAAACUUCCCACCACCCCAAAUAGCAGCUCUGUGCAACUGAAGCAUUGACUACCCCCAGCCCAGCCCCUGGUGACUGUAGUCUAGUUUCUGACUCUGAAUUUGCUUUAUAUAUUUGAGACACAAGUCUUGGGUCAGCUAUGUGUGUUUUGAAUAUUUACUCCCAGUCUAGGCUUUCACCUUUUCACUUUCCCAACAAUGGUUUUUGAAGAACAGAUUGUUUUACUUUUGACAAAGCCCAAUUAAUUGAUUAUUUAUGAUGUAUGCAUUUUUUGUUCUACUUAAAGAAUCAUUAUGUAUCCUCAAGUUCACAAACAUUUUACAGUUCUAAUUUGUAUGUUUGGGUGUAUGGUGUGAGGUAUGGCUUGAGACCCAGUUUUUCCCCACAGUGAUCUCUAGUUGUCCUGGCAACACUUUUUGAAAGGCUCCUCUCCCCACUGAUGUGCUUUGGUGCUUUGCUGACAGUGGAAUAAAUGUGGGUCUGUUUCUGGGCUCUCUGGUUCUAUAAUCUGUUUAUCCUUAUGCUCAUACAAUAGUUUUGAUUAGUCAGGUUUAUAGUUCAGGCCCGAAAUCAAAUAUUGUAAAUCCUCCAGUUUUGUUUUAUCAGGAUUUUCUUGACUAUUCUAGACCCUUUGAAUUUCCAUUUAAUUUUUAAAUCAGCUUGUUAUUGUUUAUAAGCCUUCUGGGGUUUUGACUGAGACUAUAUCAAAUUUAUAGCUCAGUUCAGGGAGAAAUGACAUCCUGAAGCUACUGUGUUCCCAGAUGUGAAUGAAGUAUCUCUUUGUGUAUUUGUCUGUUCCUUCCUUUCUCUCAGCAACAUUGUGGUGUUUUUAUUGUAGAGGUUUUUGCAUGUUUUUGAUAAAUUUCUAAGCAUUCUGUUUUUGACAUUGUUGUAAAUAGGAUUCAUUUUUAAAGUUUCCUUUUUCAGUUAAUUGCUACAAAUAGAAAUACCAUGGAUUUUUCGUCUGUUGACUUUGUAUCCUCAGACUCAUUAACUUAUUAACUUACGAGUUCUGGUCUUUUUUUUUUUAGAAAAAGAUUCCUUAGGAUUUUCCACAUAAACAAGCAGGUCAUCGGUGAAUAGGGACAGUUUUAUUGCCUCUCCCAGUCUCCCUCCUCCUUCCUGGCAUUGCCUCCCUGCCCUGGGCCGGGGGCUCUUCAUCGCCAAGUCGAAUGUUGACCGGGAGUUUUGGAAACACCCUUUGUCGGGUGGAGAACAUUUCCUUCUAUCCCUGGUUUGCUGAGUCUUUAUCGUGAAGGAGCACUGGACUGUCACAUUGCUCUCUGCUCCUGUCGCGAUGACCAUGGGUUUCUGCUGACCAUGGUGGCGCUCCCUUGUUGGCUCUUUCCCGUGCCAGGCUGAUCUGUAUUCCUCUCACGCAGAGCUGCUUGACCGCCAUGUCUUAACCUUUUUUAUGUCCCCGGGUUCAGUUUGCUAAGAUGUUGUUUCAAGUUUUUGAUCCGUGUUCACAAGAUUAACGGUCUGUCAUGUUGUUCCUCGCCUUGUCUUUCUCCCUCAGGUUUUGAUGCCAUCGAAUGAGCCGGCUCUGUGCGCACCUGUCGUCUACUCUCGCCCCCCCACCGUGGCCUCUCCAAGCAUCCCGUCUGGUCCCCAGAUGGGGACACUGCUGCAGGGUGGGAGACACCCACAGGGCAGAGCCCCCAGCUGCCUGGCAGUCGAUUUUCCUCCUGUACCUUCUGGAUGGCGGCCUGCACAGAGGUGUCCCCAGCUGCAGCCUGGAAGGGCAGAGACGGCAUCCCCUCCGUGAAAGGAGGAGGCCCAGUCGCGGAACCCCCACGUGCGGCAGAGCAGCAGAGUGGAGACGACGGCAGUCCAGCCCCUUCCAGCCGCACAGCAGGCAAGGGCUCCCCAGGUCCUGGCAGCCUGAUGGGGCCCCUGUCCCACCUCCCCCGCCAGCUGGAGCAGGUGUCCUUCAGGCGCUGGUGGAGCCUCUCCACUUCCUGAGCAGAACAUACCGUUCGAUUAAAAGACGCGACACCGGAAACGAGUGCUCUGGAAGCACAAGCAGAAAGGAGCCCCUCACUCGACGGCAGAUGCCCACUGCGAGGUCUGCUUUUGAAUUAAUCAUUGACCUGGGCGCUUCUCAACCUACGAUAGCUGCUCUAAAACUUCACCUAAAAUUUUACUUUCCCAUCAAAACCAUAAUUUCAGAUUUUACAUCAUAAAUUUGUAAGUCUGGCAGUUCCCACCUACUGGAAUUGUUCGGGGUCUGGACACAUUUGUGCCAGAGCGAGCGGGAGCCUGUGUGUGUGUACAGAUGCGUGUUUCACGUGAAGGAGAGCACGUGGUGGCACUGCCCUUCACUCCGCUUUUCCUUCUUGACAAUAAAUCGUAGCCCCCGGCAGCCAAGAUCCUCCCCGUUCCUUUUAACUGGGGCCUACACCCCAUUCUCAGUCCCAGAUUCUCUGACAGUUCCUGCCGACAGCACUGCAGCUGCUUCCAGGUCUCCCGUCACCCAGCGUGUGCGCCACACCUGCGCACACCCUCCUGGGCAUGGCAGCGCCGGGAAGACUUUUGAGACGGGGUUAAAAAAUGAUUGGAACUCAGGGACAGGAGCGGAUGCCAGCCCGGGCCCGGCCCACGGCCCCUCCACCUGGCACCGCCCAUCCGUGACGGCAUCCUCUGUGGGUCCACGGAGCCAUGUCUGCACCAGUCUGGGUGCAAACGAAUGAGAGGAGAGAAGGGAAGCCCCGGUCAUGGUGAUGAGUGUGGCCGCAGGCAGAGCAGGUAGGCAUUCUUCUACAGGGACCAGAAAGCAGAGGCAGAAGAAGGGUGAGGCAGCUCAAGACAUCACCAAGACAGGACAGGAAGCUCCAAAGACAUCCCCUAACCCCAAUGCCUGGAGAAACGGCACCCGACCAGCCGGAACUGUCAGAACUGACGUUUGCAGAACUCUGGGAGGCAAAGCCAAACAGCAGCCAAUUGAACGCUGAGUCAAGAAAAAGGCAACCACAAGUGGAGGAAAGCUGGGGGCACUUUUUCUUAUCCUAGGCCACCUCCGCCCUGGCUCAGUCGCGUUGCCCAGGGACGGUCCCUGGUCACGGAGGCGUGGCGCACACCUGCCGAGCAGAUGUCGGACGGACACAGCUCUCCCGCCCCAUCUGGCUGGGGAGGCAGCCAGCACUGCAGUGAAAACACUCGAGGAAGCUAGACCCACAGCUGCCUGCGCUGAGACACAGAACAGGGCUCUGGGACCCAGGAGGAGAUGCCAGGGACAGCUUCCCGGGAAAUUAGGGCAUCCAGGAGCACUUGGGCAUAAAGGGAAUUCUGAAAGCCACGUGCAAGGCCAGCACAAGGCACACGCUCGAGAAAGACUCGAGAAGACCCCAAGUGUCUGCCGUGGACUGACUGACAGGCUUGGGGAAGGGGGCUGUGUGGGGAAGGAGAGCCUC
Long non-coding RNA from Choloepus didactylus (southern two-toed sloth), 6025 nucleotides. RefSeq lists it as uncharacterized. The transcript is spliced from 3 exons. NCBI's taxonomy places the organism in Eukaryota, Metazoa, Chordata, Mammalia, Pilosa, Megalonychidae. The record is from RefSeq and is a predicted model, not a curated record.